UACGGAGGGUGCAAGCGUUAAUCGGAUUUAUUGGGCGUAAAGGGCGUGUAGGCGGGAAGCUAAGUCAGAUGUGAAAUCCCGGGGCUCAACCUCGGAACUGCAUAUGAGACUGGCUUUCUUGAGGAUAGGCGGAGAAAAUGGAAUUCCACAAGUAGCGGUGAAAUGCGUAGAUAUGUGGAAGAACACCUGUGGCGAAGGCGAUUUUCUAGCUUAGACCUGACGCUGAGGCGCGAAAGCAAGGGGAGCAAACAGG
RNAcentral lists this ribosomal RNA (253 nucleotides) under uncultured bacterium. RNAcentral's name for it is "partial 16S ribosomal RNA". It matches the Rfam family "Bacterial small subunit ribosomal RNA", at positions 524 to 776 of the family's 1533-position model. The record is from RNAcentral.